GCUGAUGGAGCAAAUCCAAGCUCUGCUGGCUCCCCCCAAGACGGACGAAGCAGAAAAGCGCAGUCGGAAGCCUGAGAAGGAGCCCCGGAGAAGCGGCAGGGCCACCAACCACGACAGCUGCGAUAGCUGCAAGGAAGGUGGAGAUCUCCUGUGCUGCGACCACUGCCCGGCUGCCUUCCACCUCCAGUGCUGUAACCCUCCACUGAGUGAAGAAAUGUUGCCUCCUGGAGAGUGGAUGUGUCACCGGUGCACUGUUCGCCGAAAGCCCUGGAAUCACCCCACUCUUCCCAUGGUGACUGUUUGGAAUCCAGUAGGGCCUAAAAAUCCAAACAUGGGCUGCUGAAAUGGGCAGAAGAGAAACGAGAGCAGAAAAAGGAGCUGGGUCAUGUCAAUGGACUGGUGGACAAAUCUGGCAAACGGACUACAUCCCCCAGCAGUGACACUGACUUGUUGGACAGAUCGGCCAGCAAAACUGAACUAAAGGCCAUUGCCCAUGCCCGGAUCCUGGAAAGGAGAGCCAGCAGGCCUGGCACACCCACAUCCAGCGCCAGCACAGAGACCCCCACCUCUGAGCAGAAUGAUGUCGACGAAGACAUCAUUGACGUGGAUGAGGAACCAGUAGCAGCGGAGCCAGACUAUGUGCAGCCCCAGCUGAGGCGGCCCUUUGAGCUGCUGAUUGCUGCCGCCAUGGAGCGGAACCCCACCCAAUUUCAGUUGCCCAAUGAACUGACUUGUACCACUGCACUACCAG
RNAcentral lists this small RNA (751 nucleotides) under Pan troglodytes (chimpanzee). RNAcentral describes it as "processed transcript". The record is from RNAcentral. Lineage: Eukaryota; Metazoa; Chordata; Mammalia; Primates; Hominidae.